RNAcentral lists this long non-coding RNA (930 nucleotides) under Coturnix japonica (Japanese quail). RNAcentral describes it as "lncRNA (ENSCJPG00005018845.1)". The record is from RNAcentral. Lineage: Eukaryota; Metazoa; Chordata; Aves; Galliformes; Phasianidae.
AUUGUUUUGGCCUUGUGCAUAGAACAGCCUGUCAAUCUGCAACCACGAAACUCCUGUAUGAGACCUAGUGAUUGCAUCACAUGUCAAGAGGAAAACUGAAUAGUAAAUAUAAUCCAGCAAGCAGGGUAGUGUCACUUGCAGAGGAGCAACUCCUUUCUUCCCCAGUCUCCUAUGAGUCUGGGAUGCUGGCUAAGCAUCUAGCUAUAAAAGUGAAUCACUCCUAUAGAGGAUUUCUCUAAAAUUUCUAGCACAUCUUAAAAUGGAAAAUUUAUUUUUGUAUCUAAGAUGUUAAGAAAGCUUCUGACAAGCACAGUGUCUUAUUUUUAUGAUAGAAAAAUACUUUUAUUCAAGCAUUUUCUUAAACACUUCAGCUUUUCCAAAUUUCACUUUCUAUUUUUCUUACUUUAACAGCCUCAAAUCUUAUUCCUGGUUUUCUUCACAAGGAUGGAGUACUGUAGAAUGGCAGAGCAGAAGGAAAGCACAUCUUCUAACCACUCUGAUUAUCCCCUGCUGCUGCUUGGCAUCCACACAUGCUACAAGAGGAAAAGCCAGACCUGGAAACAAUCUGCUGAGAGUUUCAGAUUCUCUCUGUUCCUUCUCUUCCAGUCCAUUAGGCCAGAAAGGGAAUGGCAGUCAACAAGUUUUUCAUCUGUCGUCUUCGUACAGCUUCCAGUGCUGGUGUGAAAUUGUGCCACUUUGUGCACUCAUAGCUGAGCAGAGACAGAGCCUGUGGAAACCAACAGACAUCAGUCAGAAAGCCAACCCCACAGAGCACCUCUGCUGCCUUGGACUGCUGUGGCCAAAUAUUUGCUGGGUGGACUUGGUUUCAACUCCCCAGAAUAGGAAGGGAAAAAAAAAGGCAACAGAUAGGUAAGAAGGGCUCCAUUUCUUUGCUGAUCCUCUUCAUCCCUUCAGUUUCAACAGGAGCAG